RNAcentral lists this long non-coding RNA (1405 nucleotides) under Anas platyrhynchos (mallard). Its description in RNAcentral is "lncRNA (ENSAPLG00020006825.1)". The record is from RNAcentral. Lineage: Eukaryota; Metazoa; Chordata; Aves; Anseriformes; Anatidae.
AACAGCUCGACGUGGAUAACUGGCUUGACAGCUCCCAGGAAAUGAGGUUUUCUGUUUUCCUCUGCCUUUGUUGAUUCACGAGCGCACACAUGCCUCCAGAGAAGGACGAGUAAAAGUGCAGCAAGCAGUCUGCUUUAGAAGUGCUCUCUAUGCCUACAGAUGCAUAGAAUAAGUCAGCAGAUGACUUCUAAGAAAGACAAACACCAGGCAACCACAUUCACAACAGAAUAAAUCUUUUCAUUUUUAUUUUGUGCCUACUUCUGAGCUAGCAGAGCAAGCAUUGCUCAGAACCUGCAUUUUAAGCAAAAGCCUAUGAACGUGACUUUAACAAGACCUCUCUGGAUUUUGAGAUACAUUUGUUACGAUGCUUAAGAAAUAUCCUGGUGAGCAUUUUGGGAAAGGAACUAAUUGGCACACUAAAGCCGAGGCAAGCCAGGAAGAGUCUGAAGCCAGCUACAAGCCUGCGGUGAUGAUAAACAGCUCAGGGUCCAGGUGUCCAUAUAUGGCCAGACUUCCUAUAAGACUGACAGUACUGUAUGUGCAUUGCGUAUGGUUCUUGGAUCCCGUUCACAUUCCUCGGAGCCAAUCUCAUUUCUUUUAAUGGAGAACUUCAAGUAGACGGAAUGACAUCCAAAUGACUUAAGCAGCCAAAGUACAGGGUUGGCAGAAUAUAAAGACAGUUUUACGGUACAAUAUAUCCUACUGGGGCUUUACAUGAAAAUGUAUCUUUCUCCCUCAAGAAUCCUGUGAAUACAUAUUGCAGUGUCACGCGUGGAUAUGAGCACACGUGUACAGAGGGAUGGAAAGAGGGAGGGAUAUGGCGGCGGCAGAACAACUACACGCAGAAGAUGCUGUCUUUUAAGAUACCCACCAGAUUCCAAUUUGCCUAACAAGAUGCGUGAAGGCAAUCUCUCUCAUUAAACGCUAACAUACUUCUGUGGGUCAAGAGUCAAAAUGCAGGCAUUCCUCGUGCCAAAGCGGAGGUCAAACAACAUGACAUCACUGAAUAUUCACAUGGUACGCGGGGAGUGGGGGGAAGAACCAUCCUUCUAGCCUCAGAAAAAAAAAUAAUAAAAUAAAAGAAAAUGCAAAGCCUGAGAGUUAUCUGCAAUGGUUUAAUCCAAACCACAACACGUAGGUUUGGGGUUCGGUCAGAUCCAUGGCACGGUGCUGGGGUUUCAGCUGAGCACGGUGGCACGCCUGGUUGGCCUCCCGGGACGGUCCGACAGGGAGCCCGUGUAGCAGGGCUGUGCUAAGACUGUGUUGCUCAGGGAUGACAGCUGCACACAGGCAGCGGGAAAAUAAUAGCCACUUCUUCCAUGCUCCAGACUCGCUCCGCUGUGCCAAAUAUUUCAGAGUAAAUAGGCACUCUCUCUAUUCAUAGAGAGCAUCUAUUAGGAAAGGA